UCACUCUAACUUUCCUCAUCCACAAAUCUUUCAUCCUCGCUCAAAUUAAUGGGGAACUCUUCGCUUUCUCGGUCCGAAUCGCUCUCGCUGCUGGUGGCCAUGAUUGUAAACAAUGUUCAGAUGUGAGGAGCUCCACAUUGGCUUCUCACAGAGACACUGGCGUUCACCGCAGCCCUCCGACUUUCAGUGCUUCACUCUAACUUUCCUCAUCCACGAAUCUUUCAUCCUCGCUCAAAUUAAUGGGGAAAUCGUCGCUUUCUCGGUCCGAAUCGCUCUCGCCGCUGGUGGCCAUGAUUGUAAACAAUGUUCAGAUGUGAGGAGCUCCACAUUGCCUUCUCUCAGAGACACUGGCGUUCACCACAGCCCUCCAACUUUCAGUGCUUCACUUUAACUUUCCUCAUCCACGAAUCUUUCAUCCUCGCUCAAAUUAAUGGGGAAAUCGUCGCUUUCUCGGUCCGAAUCGCUCUCGCUGCUGGUGGCCAUGAUUGUAAACAAUGUUCAGAUGUGAGGAGCUCCACAUUGGCUUCUCUCAGAGACACUGGCGUCCACCGCAGCCCUCCGACUUUCAGUGCUUCACUCUAACUUUCCUCAUCCACGAAUCUUUCAUCCUCGCUCAAAUUAAUGGGGAAAUCGUCGCUUUCUCGGUCCGAAUCGCUCUUGCUGCUGGUGGCCAUGAUUGUAAACAAUAUUCAGAUGUGAGGAGCUCCACAUUGGCUUCUCUCAGAGACACUGGCGUUCACCGCAGCCCUCCGACUUUCAGGUAUGACGUUAUAAUCUCACUAAAACACUAGUAACACAAUAAGCAGAUAAGGGAUUUUCCUUGUUAAUGUGUCUAAUUACAUCUGAAUCGCUCAUGUCACCUUUUCUUUUUCUUUCUUUUUAGUGCUUCACUCUAACUUUCCUCAUCCACAAAUCUUUCAUCCUUGCUCAAAUUAAUGGGGAAAUCGUCGCUUUCUCGGUCCGAAUCGCUCUCGCCGCUGGUGGCCAUGAUUGUAAACAAUGUUCAGAUGUGAGGAGCUCCACAAACCUGUGACGUCACGCGCACAUCGUCUGCUACUUCCGGUACAGGCAAGGCUUUUUUUAUUAGCGACCAAAAGUUGUGAACUUUAUCGUCGAUGUUCUCUACUAAAUCCUUUCAGCAAAAAUAUGGCAAUAUCGCGAAAUGAUCAAAUAUGACACAUAGAAUGGACCUGCUAUCCCCGUUUAAAUAAGAAAAUCUCGUUUCAGUAGGAUUGUAAAUUGGCUAUUUCUGGCAACUUAUUUAAGUGUGUAUCAAACUGGUAGCCCUUUACAUUAAUCAGUACACAAAGAAGUAGGUGUAGGUUUCAAAAAGGUUGGUGACCCCUGCUCUAUGUUCACAUGAUACUGGUAGUUCACUCUAUCUUCUAAAAAAAAAAACGCUGAGUAGGAAGGUAAGGUAAGUAAGUAGUGUUUUUUUUUUCCAGUUCCAGAACCAAAAAGUGACAUCGGAGUUGCAAGCCGACACCGUGCACACCCGACACCUCUUGACCCUCCGCGCGCUCCGGGGUCAGAAAUAAUUAGGGGACGCCGUGCGCUCUCUCACCUGGUCGUCCAGCCGGUGGGCAACGAUGGUCGCCGCCUCUUCCUGCUCGCCAUCGCUGAGGGGGCGGAUCCUCAGGGCGACCUGGCGGGUAAUAAACACACGUUUCACCUCAGCGCAAACAUUAUUAUAGCACCUAACCCAGGGGUGUCGAACUCAAACACAGAGUGGGACAAAAUUUUAAACGGGUUGAACAAAUUAACCUUCCAUUUGAAUAUUUAUUUUAACUCGUAUUUACUUUUUUUCACCUUCUUUUACUGUCAUAGCUCGGUUGGUAGAGUGGCCGUGCCAGCAACUUUAGGGUUGCAGGUUCGAUUCCCGCUUCCGCCAUCCUAGUCACUGCCGUUGUGUCCUUGGGCAAGACACUUUACCCACCUGCUCCGAGUGCCACCCACACUGGUUUAAAUGUAACUUAGA
Molecule: long non-coding RNA, 1978 nt
Organism: Nerophis ophidion (straightnose pipefish)
Lineage: Eukaryota; Metazoa; Chordata; Actinopteri; Syngnathiformes; Syngnathidae
Exons: 4
Source: RefSeq, a predicted model, not a curated record